RNAcentral lists this ribosomal RNA (549 nucleotides) under Escherichia coli. RNAcentral describes it as "partial 23S ribosomal RNA". It matches the Rfam family "Bacterial large subunit ribosomal RNA", at positions 1 to 589 of the family's 2925-position model. Lineage: Bacteria; Pseudomonadati; Pseudomonadota; Gammaproteobacteria; Enterobacterales; Enterobacteriaceae. The record is from RNAcentral.
GGUUAAGCGACUAAGCGUACACGGUGGAUGCCCUGGCAGUCAGAGGCGAUGAAGGACGUGCUAAUCUGCGAUAAGCGUCGGUAAGGUGAUAUGAACCGUUAUAACCGGCGAUUUCCGAAUGGGGAAACCCAGUGUGUUUCGACACACUAUCAUUAACUGAAUCCAUAGGUUAAUGAGGCGAACCGGGGGAACUGAAACAUCUAAGUACCCCGAGGAAAAGAAAUCAACCGAGAUUCCCCCAGUAGCGGCGAGCGAACGGGGAGCAGCCCAGAGCCUGAAUCAGUGUGUGUGUUAGUGGAAGCGUCUGGAAAGGCGCGCGAUACAGGGUGACAGCCCCGUACACAAAAAUGCACAUGCUGUGAGCUCGAUGAGUAGGGCGGGACACGUGGUAUCCUGUCUGAAUAUGGGGGGACCAUCCUCCAAGGCUAAAUACUCCUGACUGACCGAUAGUGAACCAGUACCGUGAGGGAAAGGCGAAAAGAACCCCGGCGAGGGGAGUGAAAAAGAACCUGAAACCGUGUACGUACAAGCAGUGGGAGCACGCUUAGG